Molecule: ribosomal RNA, 274 nt
Filed under: uncultured bacterium
Lineage: Bacteria
Description: partial 16S ribosomal RNA
Rfam family: Bacterial small subunit ribosomal RNA
Source: RNAcentral
AUACGGAGGGUGCAAGCGUUAUCCGGAUUUACUGGGUUUAAAGGGUACGCAGGCGGUAAUUUAAGUCAGUGGUGAAAGCCUACAGCUCAACUGUAGAACUGCCAUUGAAACUGAAUUACUUGAGUAUGGUAGAGGUAGGCGGAAUACAACAUGUAGCGGUGAAAUGCAUAGAUAUGUUGUAGAACACCGAUUGCGAAGGCAGCUUACUAAACCAUUACUGACGCUCAUGUACGAAAGCGUGUGGAGCGAACAGGAUUAGAUACCCUAGUAGUCC